RNAcentral lists this long non-coding RNA (1464 nucleotides) under Corvus moneduloides (New Caledonian crow). Its description in RNAcentral is "lncRNA (ENSCMUG00000017055.1)". The record is from RNAcentral. Lineage: Eukaryota; Metazoa; Chordata; Aves; Passeriformes; Corvidae.
AUGCUGAAGGACGGGAUGGCCACGGUCUGCCCUGUGGGGGGGAGCAGUUGGGGGUGCCGGGAGGGGGAUUUGGGGUCCCCCCCUGCCUUCUGCCUUUGCCACCCCCUCCCUCUCCUCACCUGUGUGGCGGAUGCUGCCAAGGUGCCUCAGGAUGUUGUCGUAGGCGGGGUGGGGGUCAUCGCCCACCUGGGGGAGCGGGGGGGGGGGUCAGUGAGGGGCUGGGGGAGCCGGGGGGGCUCCGUGGGUGUGGGGUCCGUACCUCCAGGAGGACACCGAGCACGGCCAGCCCGCCGGGGUGCUGCUGCGCCGCGCUGGCGUCGGCAAAACGCUCGGCGUCGAAGUGCACCACGUGCAUCUGCAGCACAGCGGGAACCCCCUGAGCCCCCUGCCCCAGCUCCCAUCCCAGCAUCUCUCGCAGUGCCCAGACCUGCUGCCCGCUCCCGGACCUGCUCCCACUCCCAUUUCCCACCCGUUUUCUUCUGCACCCCAUCCCCUCCCUGCACUCGUUUCCCAUCCCUGGACCCAUUUCCCUCACCACGACCCCUUUUCCAUUCCCUGCAGCAAAUUCCCGCAGUGCAAACCCAUUUUCCACACUGUUCCCAUGCUAUUUCCCACACCGACACCCCUUCCCACAGCCAUUUCCCACACAAUUCCCAUGCCACUUCCUUACCCCAGGCCGGUUCCCGUGCUCCUUUCCCACCCCAUUCCUCAGCCAUUUCCCGCCCCCAGACCCAUUUUCGGAGCUGUUCCGUGGCCGGUGCCCGCCGGUACCUCGGCGGGGGCGCGGUGCCCGUCCAGCAGGUGCUCAGCGCCAGCGGCGUGGCCGGGCCGGCCCCAGUGGAAGUGCAGCUGCACGGCAGCGAAGGUGUGGGGCAGCCCCCGGAGCCGCAGGGACGGCGGCAGCGCCAGCACGGCUACGGGACAGGGGGUCAGCAGGGCUGGGACACCGGGGACUCCCCGGCUCUCCCGCCCGGCGCUCACCGGUGUGGCCGUUGUUGGCGAGGGUCAGGCGAGGGCUCUCGGGGCGCUCGUAGCCCUCGGGCUGCAGCGGCGGCAGGGACGGGUCCGGCUGCGCCCGUGCCGUGGCGAUGUCGAUGGGUGACUGCGCCCGGCCCCCGCACUCCGGGUGUCCCUCGUGCCAGUGCUGCUGCCCGUGGGGCCCUGAGGGGGACCGGAGCCCAGGUGGGACCCCCCCCCCCCCCUCACCCCGGGGGCUGCUUCACCCAGCGGGGCCCCGUGACCCAAAACGCCCUCGGGGCCUCCCGAACCGGGACACGGGUGACAUUUCCGAGGGCCUCGUUAAUCUGCUGGGGACAUUUUUUCCGGCCGGGGGAGCGGGGACAAAGCCGAGCCUGCAGGGCCGGGGGGGCACCCAUGGGUCCCCUGGGCCCGGCAGGAUGGGGCUUAGCGGGAUUUGGCCAGGGCCGGAUCCUAAUUGGAUUUGGCAGCAGGAGCCUUAUGUAA